UGUACUGGAGGCUGUCCUUGCAUAACUGUGAGUCUGAGGCUAAGGAAAUAACAUCACCACUGUGAGCCUGGAGAAAGAAUGCACAAUGGUGAUUCCAAAACCAAAGGAGACAGAUUUUCAGUCCCACUGGGAUAGACCAGUUUCCAAGGCUUGGUCCCAUCAAAGCUAGAAGUGCCUUCAGUUCAGCGGUGGAGCAGAUGAUGCUCAAAAGAACAAAUCAGGAAAGAGGAAAGAAUAAAAGGCCAUUUGUGGUACAUCUGAAUCAGCCUGGUGAAUAAGAUUUGGGUUCCUCAAGACAGAGAAGGAGACUGUCCCAACGCGUCCCGCAGCCCACCCUGCCUCGAAACUCCCUGCGGUGAUGUCGGGGCUAGAGGAAUCCAGGGCUUGGU
This is a long non-coding RNA of Homo sapiens (human), 389 nucleotides long. RefSeq lists it as uncharacterized. The transcript is spliced from 4 exons. The record is from RefSeq and is a predicted model, not a curated record. Lineage: Eukaryota; Metazoa; Chordata; Mammalia; Primates; Hominidae.